GCUUGCUGCUUUGCUGACGAGUGGCGGACGGGUGAGUAAUGUCUGGGAAACUGCCUGAUGGAGGGGGAUAACUACUGGAAACGGUAGCUAAUACCGCAUAACGUCGCAAGACCAAAGAGGGGGACCUUCGGGCCUCUUGCCAUCGGAUGUGCCCAGAUGGGAUUAGCUAGUAGGUGGGGUAACGGCUCACCUAGGCGACGAUCCCUAGCUGGUCUGAGAGGAUGACCAGCCACACUGGAACUGAGACACGGUCCAGACUCCUACGGGAGGCAGCAGUGGGGAAUAUUGCACAAUGGGCGCAAGCCUGAUGCAGCCAUGCCGCGUGUAUGAAGAAGGCCUUCGGGUUGUAAAGUACUUUCAGCGGGGAGGAAGGGAGUAAAGUUAAUACCUUUGCUCAUUGACGUUACCCGCAGAAGAAGCACCGGCUAACUCCGUGCCAGCAGCCGCGGUAAUACGGAGGGUGCAAGCGUUAAUCGGAAUUACUGGGCGUAAAGCGCACGCAGGCGGUUUGUUAAGUCAGAUGUGAAAUCCCCGGGCUCAACCUGGGAACUGCAUCUGAUACUGGCAAGCUUGAGUCUCGUAGAGGGGGGUAGAAUUCCAGGUGUAGCGGUGAAAUGCGUAGAGAUCUGGAGGAAUACCGGUGGCGAAGGCGGCCCCCUGGACGAAGACUGACGCUC
RNAcentral lists this ribosomal RNA (677 nucleotides) under Enterobacteriaceae bacterium HFH0017. Its description in RNAcentral is "bacterial SSU rRNA". It matches the Rfam family "Bacterial small subunit ribosomal RNA", at positions 78 to 748 of the family's 1533-position model. RNAcentral also lists the same sequence under 2 other names. Lineage: Bacteria; Pseudomonadati; Pseudomonadota; Gammaproteobacteria; Enterobacterales; Enterobacteriaceae. The record is from RNAcentral.